Molecule: unclassified non-coding RNA, 285 nt
Filed under: plant metagenome
Description: partial contains small subunit ribosomal RNA and internal transcribed spacer 1
Source: RNAcentral
AAGUCAGUAACAAGGUUUCCAAGGUUAGGCUGAACCUGCGGGAAGGAAUCCGUUACGAAAAGUAAAAGCUUGGAUAAGGAAGGUGGGGUCAUUGGAUCUGUAAGUGGAUAGAGGCGAACAGUACCGGCUCGCCUCCCCGAAAAUGUCUUACAUGUCCCCCACAGCCUGAAGGCCGAAUUACAACCCUUGAUUAUCUACACUUGUUGCUUUGGGGUGCUCAAGUGCCCCAGAGGACCCAACUCUCUUGCAUUUAGUGACGUCUGAGUACUAUAUAAUAUUUAAAAA